Molecule: long non-coding RNA, 4660 nt
Organism: Brassica rapa (field mustard)
Lineage: Eukaryota; Viridiplantae; Streptophyta; Magnoliopsida; Brassicales; Brassicaceae
Source: RefSeq, a predicted model, not a curated record
GUGAUCAAUGUACUACUUGAACAUCUGCGUAGUUGGUAUUAGAAACUUACUUUGAAAAUUGUGAAUUGUGUAGUUUGUAAGAAAUUAUGAAUUGUGAAUAAAUUAUUUCUCAUGUUUUUUUUUUGAUAAAAUGUUAAAAUUAUUAUACUAAUUUUUCAGUUUGAGACAGAAUUACAAUAAGAAAACUAGUAGCAGGAUGCAUAAAUUAAACUAAACACAAACUACACGAUAAUAAAAUUAACCCGAACCAAGGACUCAACUAAAUCUCCAACCCAACUAAACAACGAGACACAGUCAGACCAAAGCACACAGAAGCGAUCGGGGUCGAGAGCGGGGCACCAGGAGCUACCGAGAGAAAGGCACCCUCUAACUUUGAUGCUACGACUCCUACAGCUUCCUACCAUCCUUUCCCAACCUGAACUGGACUGAGAAUCAAACCACGAACAAAUUCAAACCACUCGACAACGAUGACAUCUGAUGGCACGAGAACAAGCUCUUAGCGACGAUCUCGUCGUUCGGAGGAGGAACAAGGAGAAUGCCGUCACCAGCCCCACCCACAGUGACCGUUACACCUGUUGAACCUCACUCUCAUAUAGAGAGAUUGGACCGCAAGAGGCUCGCCCUCUGAACACCACACCGCAAGAGAAAGAACCACCCGAUUGACCAGCUACUGCACGGGUAAUAGACCCAGACUCGUACCACCGAUGGAGCCAAGACCAAAUCGCCUACCUUAUUGGAGGCUCCUGAACGAUGGAGGGAACAAUUUCUGGAUAAGAACGUAGUACACACUCUGAAAGAACGUAAAACAAUGAAGCUCGACUACGCAGGCGCCACCACCACGUCCUGCGAGCUUUCGUCUCGCCAGAGGAUCGAAAACCGACCCCGGAGAACUUACACGCGCCCGCUGGAGACCACCAGCAGAAGGAAGGAAACAACAAACUCCAGAUCCGCGAAAUCUGAGAGCUUGGCCUAAGUCGGGACUAGGUACACCACCACACGGAGGAGUACACCGAUAAAAGCUUAGGCUCACUAUAGCCUCGCGCUCCACCACUCGAACCGAUGCAUCUCUGAGGAAGAAAAAUUCUGGACAUGAGACUCAGCCGCAAAGAGAAACAUACCAGGAGAACACAAACACGCCGUCCUCUAGUGCUAGAACCACCAGAAACAAGACUCAGGAGCAGCGAACCACCGGAUCUGAACCAGAUCUGACCGAAGAAGACAAUCGAUUUAACCGAAGAAAGGACAGGGGAAGAGAGACAACAACGAAAAGAAGCGAAACAAGAAGAUUACGAAUCUCGGCGGUCGCCUUAGGGGUCGGCGGCGACCGCCGGAGAGGAAUGAAAUAACGAAAACUCUAGAAAUUUAAAGAGAACCGGGAGAGGAAAAGUGUAGAGAGAGAAAAGUCUAUCGGGACAUUUCUCACGUUGUUAGCAUAUUAGCAGCUUGGGAUGAUCGGUUUUCACAUAUAUAGUUUAAUGUAAAUUUGGUAAGGAGACUGGGAAAAAGGUGGACAUGGAGAAGGUAGAUUAGAGAUAUGCUUCCAGAUUUUAUCUUUCAAUCACUAUCAAAAGAAAAUUUAGUAACCUGGUUAUUAUUGGCUGCUGCAUCAAUUAUCAGUCGUGUAUAUCAUUUUAAAUAAGCCUAGUAGAUGAAUUAGGUGUUGACCGAUUAAAAUAAAGUUAGGCAUUGACUAAUUAUUGGAUACAUUGUUAGUGUAUAGCACGCUUUUGCAUGAAUCAUUUUAUUAACAGAGUAUUACAAAGUUAAGAUUUUACAUUUAAAUAUGUUUUAAAAAUUGACCAGUAAUACAUUUUGCUAACUAAAAGAGUCACGAUAUAUCCUCUUCAAUAUUUCAUAUACAGGUAGAAAAUCGAAAUAAUACUUUUAGUAUAUAUUAUGAUUUGUAACAAUACGUUGCAGAUGCAUUCAUGUUAAAAUUAAUUAAGAAAUGUUAUAUUCUGUAAUCAUUUACAAGAACAAAUUUACAACUAAAGUUUAGGAGUUAGGACCCACUUGUAUUAUGUUUACUCUUUAAUAUGAUCUACUCAUCAAUCGAAUAACUAAAGUAUAUAAAUAUGAAAAUAAGUAAGUUCUUGAUUAAAAGUAAAAACAUUAUGCUAGAAGCUAUUAGAGCUUUAAUUUCUUAAAUAAAACAUCACAACAUUCUACACAUUGUCGGAUUAUAUAUCCCCUCACACACAAACAAGAACUUUACAUUUUUUUGUAUACUUUACUAAUCAUGACGCAGAAAGCAAGAGGAUAACUUAGUAAAUAAAUACGUUUGAGUUUGCAGCAUGUGGUACUUCUGAUUGUGAUGGUAUCACAACAUGAUCACCAUUAUCCAUGCAAUUAUAUUUCUCAUCACAUCCUCUUUCUAUUGAAAUCAUGUUCGUUCUGUGAAUUACUCAAUCGAGACCAUAAUAAAGUUUAUUCAGUGAUGCAUGACCCUCUUUUGGGUUUAACCCUCUCAUGCAGCUACUAAGUACUAAUCAUAAUGAUUCAAACACUCUCCGUAUUUAAUGUUGAACCCAUUUGAGUCGCUCUCUCUUCCUCUCUCAGAUAUGACAAGGAAAACAACAAAGGAGUAGUGAAAUGCUACUUCCCGUGGUUGAUGUUUGGUUACGGACUUGGACUAUUCUUAACAUACUUGGGACUAUAUAUAUUAUGAACGGACACGGUCAACCUGCACUGCUCUUAUAUUAACAAUCCGAGAUAACUCAGGUUUUAAUGUGAUUAUGUGAAGAACAGCUUUUUUCUACUCCAAGGUUUUUAGACUUUAGUAACAUCAUAGGCUUUUUAAAAUCGGAUUUUUGUUUUAUUUUAAUGUGAAACUUAAAUACAAGUUGACCAGAAAAAAAUCUUAAAUACACAUAGGAUAGAGUGGAACGUGAGGUGUUUGAACAUUUUUACAGUGGGUAAUAUAAUAAAUUAUUUUGGUGCACUAAAAGUAAAUUCAAUAAAAAGUUAUUACAACGGCUAGUAUUCAUUGGAUUGUGGUAAGCAACGGCACAAUGUUGGGAGUGUUGCAAAACAUUGGGAGUGUUGCAAAAAAAGGAAACUCGGGUCUAUUUAUAUUUGUUAUCAGAGAGGAUGAAUCAAUUAUUUCAUUUCUCUUCCUUCUUCAGAUUAUUUCUCCGAUUACUUGCGGCAAAGAAAAGAUUUAGCCGGAGAUGGAGUGCUUCAGCUUUGUUCACAUCAGUGACAACUAACUCCAGUUGUCGGGAUAAAGAGUUGCUUGAAAAGGAGACGAUUCCCAUGGAAACAGAGUCUACACGGACGGGUACGUUUCUCUUUUCUUGAAACUUUUUUAAAUAGAAACAAAAUGUUUUUUUUACUAACCAUGAACUGUUUUGUAAAAUUUGUUUUCACUGCAAAUUUUUUUUAAAAAAAAACUUUCAAACUUGGGGAAAAUUUCUAAAUUAUUUGGUUGAUAAUGAAAACUUAAUGUGUAAUUUGUGAAAAGUAUUAGGAGUUACAUCCGGUUAGUGAUAGUUAGAGAUUGUAUAUUUCUAAUAUCCGGUUAGCGAUUGUAUAUUUCUUUUGUCUUGGCACUUAUGAGCAUUUAGUUCUUCGUAAUCAAUCUCCUAAUGAAGCAAUUUUCCCUCUUGUUUUGUGCGUAGAUUCUUUCUUACUUGCUUUUAUGUUUUUGUUUCCUUUGAUCCUUUUGCUUGUUUUAACUUUCUUCUUGUAUUUGUUUCUUUUAUUGGCUAAGAGACAAAUCUGCUAGUGGAAAGGCGAAUGAUGUUAAUAAUGCAAAGAAGAUCAAAGCUUAUAUGGACAAAGUCUACACGGGUACGUACGCUCCUCUUUUCUCACACUUUUUUAAAUAACCAUAAACUGAUUUUGUAAAGUUAUUUUCACUACAAUGUUAAAAAAAAACUUUCAAACAUAGGGGGAAAAAUUCUAUAUUAUUUGGUUGAUAAUGAAAACAUAAUGUGUAAUUUGUGAAAAGUAUUAGAAGUAACAUCCGGUUAGUGAUAGUUAGAGAUUGUAUAUUUCUAACAUCCGGUUAGCGAUUGUAUAUUUCUUUUGUCUUGGCACUUAUGAUCAUUUAGUUCUUCGUAAUCAAUCUCCUAAUAAAGCAAUUUUCCCUCUUGUUUUUUUUUUCUAAAAUCAACAUCACAUUUGCUUUCUUGUUUUGUGUUUCUUACUUGCUUUUAUGUUUAUGAUUCCUUUGAUUUUUCUGCUUGUUUUAACUUUCUUCUUGUUUUUGUUGCUUUUACUGGACAAGAGAGAAAUCUGCUAGUGGAAAAGCUAAUGAUGUUAAUAAUAUAAAGAGGAUCAAAGCUUAUAUGGACAAGGUUGAGCUAUAGAGCAUUCAAACAUAUGUGUUGAUAGUCUGCUUCCGAGACCAUCAACCAUCUUCUUUAACAAGAUAGAGAAAUCUGCUAGUGGAAAAGCUAAUGAUGUUAAUAAUAUAAAGAGGAUCAAAGCUUAUAUGGACAAGGUUGAGCUAUAGAGCAUUCAAACAUAUGUGUUGAUAGUCUGCUUCCGAGACCAUCAACCAUCUUCUUUAACAAGAUGAAAGGUAACACUAUUACCGCUAUCUUGCAUAAGAAGCCACUGAUCACAGUCUUUGAAAGCCUAUGAGGUCUUCUAUCUAUACAUAUAGAGAGUCUUUAUUGAAUAUUCUCUGUUCUAUCUAAACUUAUCAGUUUUU